Molecule: non-coding RNA, 387 nt
Organism: Mirounga angustirostris (Northern elephant seal)
Lineage: Eukaryota; Metazoa; Chordata; Mammalia; Carnivora; Phocidae
Source: the annotation of a RefSeq genome assembly
AUGACCUCCACCAUGGCCUGGUCCCCUCUCAUCCUCAGCCUCCUUGCUCACUGCACAGGGUCCUGGGCUCAGUCUGUGCUGACUCAGCCGCCCUCCGUGUCUGGGGCCCUGGGCCAGACGGUCACCAUCUCCUGCACUGGAAGCAGCUCCAACAUUGGGGGUGGUAAUGCUGUUAACUGGCACCAACAGCUCCCAGGAAAGUCCCCUAAAACCAUGAUCUAUGGUAGUACUGCUAGACCCUCGGGGGUCCCCGAACGAUUCUCUGGCUCCACGUCUGGCAACUCUGGCACCCUGACCAUCACUGGGCUCCAGGCUGAGGACGAGGCUGAGUAUUAUUGUGCAUCGUGGGAUGAUAGUCUCAGUGCUCACUCAGUGCCCCCGGCCUGA